Molecule: transfer RNA, 70 nt
Filed under: Lampsilis powellii
Lineage: Eukaryota; Metazoa; Mollusca; Bivalvia; Unionida; Unionidae
Description: tRNA-Gln
Source: RNAcentral
UGAAGGCUAGUGUAACUUACCUGCACAUAUAAAUUUGAAUUAUACAGUGGAAAUAAUACCCCACCUUCAU